AUGCAGUCGAGCGAUGGAUUAAGAGCUUGCUCUUAUGAAGUUAGCGGCGGACGGGUGAGUAACACGUGGGUAACCUGCCCAUAAGACUGGGAUAACUCCGGGAAACCGGGGCUAAUACCGGAUAACAUUUUGAACCGCAUGGUUCGAAAUUGAAAGGCGGCUUCGGCUGUCACUUAUGGAUGGACCCGCGUCGCAUUAGCUAGUUGGUGAGGUAACGGCUCACCAAGGCAACGAUGCGUAGCCGACCUGAGAGGGUGAUCGGCCACACUGGGACUGAGACACGGCCCAGACUCCUACGGGAGGCAGCAGUAGGGAAUCUUCCGCAAUGGACGAAAGUCUGACGGAGCAACGCCGCGUGAGUGAUGAAGGCUUUCGGGUCGUAAAACUCUGUUGUUAGGGAAGAACAAGUGCUAGUUGAAUAAGCUGGCACCUUGACGGUACCUAACCAGAAAGCCACGGCUAACUACGUGCCAGCAGCCGCGGUAAUACGUAGGUGGCAAGCGUUAUCCGGAAUUAUUGGGCGUAAAGCGCGCGCAGGUGGUUUCUUAAGUCUGAUGUGAAAGCCCACGGCUCAACCGUGGAGGGUCAUUGGAAACUGGGAGACUUGAGUGCAGAAGAGGAAAGUGGAAUUCCAUGUGUAGCGGUGAAAUGCGUAGAGAUAUGGAGGAACACCAGUGGCGAAGGCGACUUUCUGGUCUGUAACUGACACUGAGGCGCGAAAGCGUGGGGAG
Molecule: ribosomal RNA, 731 nt
Filed under: Bacillus sp. (in: firmicutes)
Lineage: Bacteria; Bacillati; Bacillota; Bacilli; Caryophanales; Bacillaceae
Description: bacterial SSU rRNA
Rfam family: Bacterial small subunit ribosomal RNA
Source: RNAcentral